ACACAGGCGGAGGGGGUGAGGCGGCCGGGGCGGAGUUCUGCCGCCGGGAUCCCUCCGCGGGGCUCAGCCGUUUCCGGAGUCUGCGCUGCGCCCGGUUCCGCCAUUGCGGCUCUCGCGGACCCUGGAGCCUCCGCCCCCGACCCGAGCUCUCGUCUCUGUCUGCCAGUUUCCUGCGUCCCCGGAGAGUGAUCUCGCCGAGCCCGGCCUUCCCCCUCCCCUUCCUCCUCCUCUCCCUCGGAGAGUCCGGGCAGCCACUGCCCCGCAGCCCCAGUGACAGGAGGAGACCGUACCCCCGACAGCGCCAUGGCCCAGAUUCUGCCAAUUCGUUUUCAGGAGCAUCUCCAGCUCCAGAACCUGGGUAUAAACCCAGCAAACAUUGGCUUUAGUACCCUGACUAUGGAGUCAGACAAAUUCAUCUGCAUUAGAGAGAAAGUAGGAGAGCAAGCUCAAGUGGUAAUCAUUGACAUGAAUGACCCAAGUAAUCCAAUUCGAAGACCAAUUUCAGCAGACAGCGCCAUCAUGAAUCCAGCUAGCAAAGUAAUUGCAUUGAAAGAUGCUGGGAAAACUCUUCAGAUAUUUAACAUUGAAAUGAAAAGUAAAAUGAAGGCCCAUACCAUGACUGAUGAUGUCACCUUCUGGAAAUGGAUCUCUUUGAAUACGGUUGCUCUUGUUACGGAUAAUGCAGUUUACCAUUGGAGUAUGGAAGGAGAGUCUCAGCCAGUGAAAAUGUUUGAUCGCCAUUCUAGCCUUGCAGGUUGCCAGAUUAUCAAUUAUCGUACAGAUGCAAAGCAAAAGUGGUUACUUCUGACUGGCAUAUCUGCCCAGCAAAAUCGUGUGGUGGGAGCUAUGCAGUUGUAUUCCGUAGAUAGGAAAGUGUCUCAGCCCAUUGAAGGACAUGCAGCUAGCUUCGCACAAUUUAAGAUGGAAGGAAAUGCAGAAGAAUCAACGUUAUUUUGUUUCGCAGUACGGGGUCAAGCUGGAGGGAAGUUACAUAUCAUUGAAGUUGGCACCCCACCUACAGGGAACCAGCCCUUUCCAAAGAAGGCUGUGGAUGUUUUCUUUCCUCCGGAAGCACAAAAUGACUUUCCUGUUGCAAUGCAGAUCAGUGAAAAGCAUGAUGUAGUAUUCUUGAUUACUAAGUAUGGUUAUAUCCACCUGUAUGACCUUGAGACUGGUACCUGCAUCUACAUGAACAGAAUCAGUGGAGAAACAAUCUUUGUUACUGCACCUCAUGAAGCCACAGCUGGGAUAAUUGGAGUAAACAGAAAGGGACAAGUUCUGUCAGUAUGUGUGGAAGAAGAAAACAUAAUUCCUUAUAUCACCAAUGUCCUACAAAAUCCUGAUUUGGCUCUGAGAAUGGCUGUACGUAACAACUUAGCUGGUGCUGAAGAACUCUUUGCCCGGAAAUUUAAUGCUCUUUUUGCCCAAGGAAAUUACUCAGAGGCAGCAAAGGUGGCUGCUAAUGCACCCAAGGGAAUCCUCCGAACCCCAGACACCAUCCGUCGAUUCCAGAGUGUCCCAGCCCAGCCAGGACAAACUUCUCCUCUACUUCAAUAUUUUGGCAUACUUUUGGACCAAGGCCAGCUAAACAAAUAUGAAUCCUUAGAAUUGUGUAGGCCUGUACUUCAGCAAGGACGGAAACAGCUUUUGGAGAAAUGGUUAAAAGAAGAUAAGCUGGAAUGUUCUGAAGAACUAGGUGACCUUGUGAAAUCUGUGGACCCUACUUUGGCACUUAGUGUGUACCUAAGGGCUAAUGUCCCAAAUAAAGUCAUUCAGUGCUUUGCAGAAACUGGUCAAGUUCAGAAGAUUGUUUUGUAUGCUAAAAAAGUUGGAUACACUCCAGAUUGGAUCUUUCUGCUGAGAAAUGUCAUGCGUAUCAGUCCAGAUCAGGGACAGCAGUUUGCUCAAAUGUUAGUUCAGGAUGAAGAACCUCUUGCUGAUAUCACACAGAUUGUGGAUGUCUUUAUGGAAUACAAUCUAAUUCAGCAGUGUACUGCAUUCUUGCUUGAUGCCCUGAAGAAUAAUCGCCCAUCUGAAGGUCCUUUACAGACUAGGUUGCUUGAGAUGAACCUUAUGCAUGCACCUCAGGUUGCAGAUGCUAUCCUAGGGAAUCAGAUGUUCACGCAUUAUGACCGGGCUCAUAUUGCUCAGCUGUGUGAAAAGGCUGGCCUACUGCAACGUGCAUUGGAACACUUCACUGAUUUAUAUGAUAUUAAGCGUGCAGUUGUUCACACCCAUCUUCUUAACCCUGAGUGGCUAGUGAAUUAUUUUGGAUCCUUAUCAGUAGAAGACUCCCUAGAAUGCCUCAGAGCCAUGCUGUCUGCCAAUAUUCGCCAAAAUCUGCAGAUCUGUGUUCAAGUGGCUUCUAAGUAUCAUGAACAACUGUCAACUCAGUCUCUGAUUGAACUGUUUGAAUCUUUCAAAAGUUUUGAAGGUCUCUUUUAUUUUCUGGGAUCCAUUGUUAACUUUAGUCAGGACCCAGAUGUGCACUUUAAAUAUAUUCAGGCAGCUUGCAAGACUGGGCAGAUCAAAGAAGUAGAAAGAAUCUGCCGAGAAAGCAACUGCUAUGAUCCUGAGCGAGUCAAGAAUUUUCUCAAGGAAGCGAAGCUAACAGAUCAGUUACCACUCAUCAUUGUGUGUGAUCGAUUUGACUUUGUCCAUGAUUUGGUGCUGUACUUAUAUAGAAAUAAUCUUCAAAAGUAUAUAGAGAUAUAUGUACAGAAGGUGAAUCCAAGUCGACUUCCUGUGGUUAUUGGAGGAUUACUUGAUGUUGAUUGCUCUGAAGAUGUCAUUAAAAACUUAAUUCUUGUUGUAAGAGGUCAAUUUUCUACUGAUGAGCUUGUUGCUGAGGUUGAAAAAAGAAACAGGUUGAAACUGCUUCUGCCUUGGCUAGAGGCCAGGAUUCAUGAGGGCUGUGAGGAGCCUGCUACUCACAAUGCGUUAGCCAAAAUCUACAUAGACAGUAAUAACAACCCAGAGAGAUUUCUUCGUGAAAAUCCUUAUUAUGACAGUCGUGUUGUUGGAAAAUAUUGUGAGAAGAGAGAUCCACAUCUGGCCUGUGUGGCUUAUGAGCGUGGCCAGUGUGACCUGGAACUUAUUAAUGUUUGCAAUGAGAAUUCCCUCUUCAAAAGUCUUUCCCGCUAUCUGGUACGCCGGAAGGAUCCAGAAUUGUGGGGCAGUGUGCUGCUGGAAAGCAAUCCUUAUCGGAGACCUCUAAUUGACCAGGUUGUGCAGACAGCCUUGUCUGAGACUCAGGACCCUGAAGAAGUAUCAGUAACUGUCAAGGCUUUUAUGACUGCAGACCUUCCUAAUGAACUUAUUGAACUGCUGGAGAAAAUUGUUCUUGAUAACUCCGUAUUCAGUGAACACAGAAAUCUGCAAAAUCUCCUAAUCCUCACUGCAAUCAAGGCUGAUCGUACCCGUGUUAUGGAGUAUAUUAACCGCCUGGAUAAUUAUGAUGCUCCAGAUAUUGCCAAUAUCGCCAUCAGCAAUGAGCUCUUUGAAGAAGCAUUUGCCAUUUUCCGGAAAUUUGAUGUCAAUACUUCAGCAGUGCAGGUUUUAAUUGAACAUAUUGGAAACUUGGAUCGGGCAUAUGAAUUUGCUGAACGCUGCAAUGAACCUGCGGUCUGGAGUCAGCUUGCAAAAGCCCAGUUGCAGAAAGGAAUGGUGAAAGAAGCCAUUGACUCUUACAUCAAAGCAGAUGAUCCUUCAUCUUACAUGGAAGUUGUUCAGGCUGCCAACACUAGUGGAAACUGGGAAGAACUGGUCAAGUACUUGCAGAUGGCCCGUAAGAAGGCUCGUGAGUCCUAUGUGGAGACAGAACUGAUAUUCGCACUGGCUAAAACAAACCGCCUUGCAGAGUUAGAAGAGUUCAUCAAUGGGCCAAAUAAUGCUCAUAUCCAGCAAGUUGGUGAUCGUUGUUAUGAUGAAAAAAUGUAUGAUGCUGCUAAGUUGUUGUACAAUAAUGUUUCCAAUUUUGGACGCUUGGCAUCUACCCUGGUUCACCUGGGUGAAUAUCAGGCAGCUGUUGAUGGAGCUAGGAAAGCAAACAGUACCCGAACAUGGAAAGAGGUCUGUUUUGCCUGUGUAGAUGGGAAAGAAUUCCGUCUUGCUCAGAUGUGUGGGCUUCAUAUUGUAGUACAUGCAGAUGAAUUAGAGGAACUUAUUAACUACUAUCAGGAUCGUGGAUAUUUUGAAGAACUGAUAACAAUGUUGGAAGCAGCUCUGGGACUUGAGCGAGCUCACAUGGGGAUGUUCACUGAAUUAGCCAUUCUGUAUUCUAAAUUUAAGCCACAGAAAAUGAGGGAGCACUUGGAGCUGUUCUGGUCCAGAGUGAAUAUACCUAAGGUGCUAAGAGCUGCAGAACAAGCUCAUCUUUGGGCAGAAUUGGUGUUUUUGUAUGACAAGUAUGAAGAAUAUGAUAAUGCCAUAAUUACCAUGAUGAAUCAUCCCACUGAUGCAUGGAAAGAAGGGCAGUUCAAAGAUAUCAUUACCAAGGUUGCCAAUGUGGAAUUAUACUACAGAGCAAUACAGUUCUACUUAGAAUUCAAGCCUCUGUUGUUAAAUGAUUUGCUGAUGGUGCUGUCUCCACGGUUGGAUCAUACUCGUGCAGUCAAUUAUUUCAGCAAGGUUAAACAGCUACCCCUGGUGAAACCAUAUUUGCGUUCAGUUCAGAACCACAACAAUAAAUCUGUGAAUGAAUCACUGAACAACCUCUUUAUUACAGAAGAAGAUUAUCAGGCUCUGCGAACAUCAAUAGACGCUUACGACAACUUUGACAAUAUCUCACUUGCUCAGCGUUUGGAAAAACAUGAACUCAUUGAGUUCAGAAGAAUUGCUGCUUAUCUCUUCAAAGGCAACAAUCGCUGGAAGCAGAGUGUAGAGCUGUGCAAGAAAGAUAGCCUGUACAAGGAUGCAAUGCAGUAUGCCUCUGAAUCUAAAGAUACUGAGUUGGCUGAAGAACUCCUACAGUGGUUUUUGCAGGAAGAAAAAAGAGAGUGCUUUGGAGCUUGUCUCUUUACCUGUUAUGAUCUUUUAAGGCCAGAUGUUGUCCUGGAAACCGCCUGGAGGCACAAUAUCAUGGAUUUUGCCAUGCCCUAUUUCAUCCAGGUCAUGAAGGAAUAUUUGACAAAGGUUGAUGCAAUAAAGGAAAAGGUGGAUAAAUUAGAUGCUUCAGAAUCACUGAGAAAAGAAGAAGAACAAGCUACAGAGACGCAACCUAUUGUUUAUGCCCAAGAUAACUGUGUAACUGUGCCAAGUACAUGAGAGAAGAACAUGGGAACAGAUUUCCACCUCAAGAACACUUAAAUUGGGGGAAGAAACUCAGCUUUUAUUGUUAGACUUUGACAGUUUCAAACACUUGUGAUAAAAUUUCAAGAAUACAGAUGAAGCAAUUUAAGUCAUUAUGAAUCUCUAUGUAAGAAGUAUCUCUUGUUCUUGGCUACAACAAAGCUCUGUUCCUCACUCUAUUUUACCAAGAUGCCCAAAGGGUCUAAACUAAAGAAACAAAGAAGAACUCCCCACACCCCUUUUCUGGAAUACAGUGCUUUUGAAUAGUGUCUUCAUAAUGCAAUGUGGGAUGGUACCAGCCCCUCAGACAAGUUCUUGGUUGUCUAUGUAAUGGGUGUGGAGUGAGGUGCCUUGCUAACAUUUACUAGACCUGAGCAUAGAAUGCUAUAUGUCUUACAAGUGAAGAUUUGUCCCACUGGAUAUUACUACAAGUGCAAAACUUAAUACACAAGAUGACCCAAUUUCAUUUUACAUAAAAAAUAUUGUUUGCAUUUAAUAUACAGUGAAUUUACCAGAGUGCAUUACAUAAAAACAAAGGGAGAUUGUCCUUUAUCCUUUUUUAUCUUAAAAAUUAAUUCUUGUUACCCUAUAAAGCAGUUCAUGGUAUUUGAGUCACCAAUAAAACAUACUAGUCUACAUUUGAGGUUAUUGGAUUCAUAUGAUUCUGUGGCACAAAUCCUAGAAAUACAUAUUUUAUCAUAAAUUUUCUUUUUAUUCUCACGUUAAAAUUAAGACAUUGAUGCUUCAAAAGUUUAUAUGGUAAAUUACAUACAGUUUUAUCAAAUAUUUUAAUAUAAGGAUAGUGCAGGGAAGGGGAUGUUAAACUUUAUAUAAUUCAUAUACUACAAAAUUAACUUUUAACAUGUACAAUUCUUUGAAAGUAAAAGAUACUGAAAAUCAGUUUUAAAUUGUACGUUUACAUUUCCUUUGACCAAAAGACAUCCUGGUCAGAGAUGACUAGCAAAUAAAAAAGAUAGAGGUAUCUCCC
RNA transcript from Pipistrellus kuhlii (Kuhl's pipistrelle), 6277 nucleotides. It is a transcript of the gene named clathrin heavy chain, with no coding region annotated. The transcript is spliced from 35 exons. Lineage: Eukaryota; Metazoa; Chordata; Mammalia; Chiroptera; Vespertilionidae. The record is from RefSeq and is a predicted model, not a curated record.